AAUAGAUACCCCGGUAGUCCACCCCGUAAACGUUGGAACUAGUUGUGGGGUCCAUUCCACGGAUUCCGUGACGCAGCUAACGCAUUAAGUUCCCCGCCUGGGGAGUACGGCCGCAAGGCUAAAACUCAAAGGAAUUGACGGGGACCCGCACAAGCGGCGGAGCAUGCGGAUUAAUUCGAUGCAACGCGAAGAACCUUACCAAGGCUUGACAUACACGAGAACGGGCCAGAAAUGGUCAACUCUUUGGACACUCGUGAACAGGUGGUGCAUGGUUGUCGUCAGCUCGUGUCGUGAGAUGUUGGGUUAAGUCCCGCAACGAGCGCAACCCUCGUUCUAUGUUGCCAGCACGUAAUGGUGGGAACUCAUGGGAUACUGCCGGGGUCAACUCGGAGGAAGGUGGGGAUGACGUCAAAUCAUCAUGCCCCUUAUGUCUUGGGCUUCACGCAUGCUACAAUGGCCGGUACAAAGGGCUGCAAUACCGUGAGGUGGAGCGAAUCCCAAAAAGCCGGUCCCAGUUCGGAUUGAGGUCUGCAACUCGACCUC
Molecule: ribosomal RNA, 543 nt
Filed under: uncultured bacterium
Lineage: Bacteria
Description: bacterial SSU rRNA
Rfam family: Bacterial small subunit ribosomal RNA
Source: RNAcentral